Unclassified non-coding RNA from Bison bison bison, 122 nucleotides. Lineage: Eukaryota; Metazoa; Chordata; Mammalia; Artiodactyla; Bovidae. The record is from Ensembl.
GACUGAAAUGUUCUAUUCAUCCACAGAACAGAUACAGCCCGGGAAGCGCCAAUGUAAUGUGCCGAUGUGCCUAAAUCCUGAUCUGGAGGGACAGCCGUUGAGAAUGAGAGGUGAGCUGUGUC